Molecule: non-coding RNA, 397 nt
Organism: Misgurnus anguillicaudatus (oriental weatherfish)
Lineage: Eukaryota; Metazoa; Chordata; Actinopteri; Cypriniformes; Cobitidae
Source: RefSeq, a predicted model, not a curated record
UUAACCCAUACUCUAACCUGAAUGCAGGGAUCAUAAAACUUUAUCUUUUACCUUAAUUGUUAGAUGGGUGUUGAUACCAAACUUUUUUUCUCGUCUACCCAGGAGAAAGUCAUGGGUUCUGCUGCUAAGGUUGUCAUAAACGUCUUUUAUUCUGCUUACCUGACUCAUGCAGAAUUCUGGCUUGAUGUUUGGUCCACCUGUUAGCUGGCUCUGGUGCUUGGUAGUCUUCUCAAACCUCUGAAUCAAGACCACCAUGAGAGGCCUUCUGAAGACCAUCAUUACGCUUCAGAUCCAGUUGUCUUUACUAUGAGCCUACCACAAUCCCUGUGCACCAGCUAUGGAAAGUGCAGACCAAGCUUCUACCUCCACCUGUGAGUCUCUUCCCAUAUUUGGUAAA